GGAAGUAAAAGUCGUAACAAGGUUUCCGUAGGUGAACCUGCGGAAGGAUCAUUACCUAGAGUUGUAGGCUUUGCCUGCUAUCUCUUACCCAUGUCUUUUGAGUACCUUACGUUUCCUCGGUGGGUUCGCCCACCGAUUGGACAAAUUUAAACCCUUUGCAGUUGAAAUCAGCGUCUGAAAAAACUUAAUAGUUACAACUUUCAACAACGGAUCUCUUGGUUCUGGCAUCGAUGAAGAACGCAGCGAAAUGCGAUAAGUAGUGUGAAUUGCAGAAUUCAGUGAAUCAUCGAAUCUUUGAACGCACAUUGCGCCCCUUGGUAUUCCAUGGGGCAUGCCUGUUCGAGCGUCAUUUGUACCUUCAAGCUCUGCUUGGUGUUGGGUGUUUGUCUCCUGUAGACUCGCCUUAAAACAAUUGGCAGCCGGCGUAUUGAUUUCGGAGCGCAGUACAUCUCGCGCUUUGCACUCAUAACGACGACAUCCAAAAGUACAUUUUUACACUCUUGACCUCGGAUCAGGUAGGGAUACCCGCUGAACUUAAGCAU
Molecule: ribosomal RNA, 542 nt
Filed under: fungal sp. 57518
Lineage: Eukaryota; Fungi
Description: eukaryotic LSU rRNA
Rfam family: 5.8S ribosomal RNA (bases 196-349)
Source: RNAcentral